AGAUGGAAAACAUGCAGGAUAGCGGCCCUCCAGGACUGGGAUUGCCCACCCCUGGUCUAUAGGGUGUCUAUAGUAUAGACACAAAAUAUAUCGCAUUCGAAACCCACCGUGAGUCUUCAGAGAAUUAGAAAUUACGCAAAAGUUUUUCUCAAAAUUUUAUAGUCUACGCAAAGGGCACCCAGCAUAACUUUCAAGUCAACUGCGAGUCAGAAUAAUUGGAAUGUUUUUAAGCAAACCUCCCAAUGACAACAAUACUUUUAAUGUUUUAAAGGUUCGCAAUAGGGUUGAUCGUCCACGGGAGAGGGGGUGGGGCGCGCAGAAGUUCAUCUCCUUUUAUGUCCAUAGCAGUCCAAGAUGCAGAGGAAUGGGAAGGCAUGAUUUAAAAAAAAACAUUUAUAGUAAAGCCGGGUCCGGCCUUCCUGAGUGGAACUGUCUUGUUCUGUUCUCUCUGUGCCUGCGUGGGUUUUCAGAGUCCUUAGGUUUCCUCCCACAUUCCAAAUAUAUGCAUGGCAGGUCCAUGGAACACUCUACACCAGGGAUGCCCAACCUUAUUGACUGAAAAUCGACUUUGGAAAUGAUUAACCUCCCGCGAUCGACCCGAUCGCGAGCGUGCUAGCAUACAAACUUGCACACACGCGGGUGGCAACCAUGCACAUGUACGCAUAUGCACGCACGCCACGAUGAGCAACAGCCUUAACGGUCCCGACAAUGACCAAAAUCGAAAUUUAGAGACACACAAAGCCCCCGACCCCUCGCGAUCAAGUUGGGAUCAAUCCACGGGCUAUCGGUCGAUCGCGAAGUGAUAUGUUGAAUGCACCUUGCCUGACUAUGGAAUGUGUUACGGAGCCUUUCAUGGAUCAAGGAAGAAUGAAAUUCGAUUGUAAGACUUAAAAUAUAUAUGUUGGUGAUCUACUUAAUAAAUCAAAUGUACCCCCACCUCAUCUUUUAUUUUUUAUGUAAUUACAGUGUGUGUCGAAUGUCCAGCAGGAAAAAAAACUUUUUGUCCAUGUUCAAGCUAACACCAAGAUCAAAUACAGUAUUGAAAAAUCAAAGUUUUGGUCUUUAACUAAAAAAGGAAAAUCUGUUUCAGUGUUUUAUUGAAAGUAAGCAAUAAAUAAUACUGUGAUAAAAAUAGUUUAGAAGUACUCAGACUGUACAUUGUUACAGGAACAGACAAUACAAAAGGGAAGAGCAGGACAAACAAGAGCAACAUGAUUUCCACAGGCCACGAAUGAGAGAAAUUACAAAAAAA
Hippocampus comes (tiger tail seahorse) is the source of this 1252-nucleotide long non-coding RNA. RefSeq lists it as uncharacterized. The transcript is spliced from 2 exons. NCBI's taxonomy places the organism in Eukaryota, Metazoa, Chordata, Actinopteri, Syngnathiformes, Syngnathidae. The record is from RefSeq and is a predicted model, not a curated record.